RNAcentral lists this transfer RNA (64 nucleotides) under Protonemura datongensis. RNAcentral describes it as "tRNA-Arg". Lineage: Eukaryota; Metazoa; Arthropoda; Insecta; Plecoptera; Nemouridae. The record is from RNAcentral.
GAAUCAGAAGCGAUCUAUCGCAGUCAGUUUCGACCUGGCCUUAGGUAAUCAUUACCCUUAUUCU